Neofelis nebulosa (Clouded leopard) is the source of this 793-nucleotide long non-coding RNA. RefSeq lists it as uncharacterized. The record is from RefSeq and is a predicted model, not a curated record. The transcript is spliced from 3 exons. Lineage: Eukaryota; Metazoa; Chordata; Mammalia; Carnivora; Felidae.
CAUACAGGGGGAAGUUCCAACACAUUUCACAAGAGAGAAAAGUAAUGCAGAGAAAGAGGAAUUUCAGUCUUCUCUGCUGAUUACCCCUCCCAGAACUCUCCCUGCCCUCCCUCCAAGGGGGUUACCAAGGGCAGCUGGCUGCAAGGCUGCAGCUGUUCUUAAUUGUUGAUUUUAGCCUUGCAGUGGUCCCAGGUGGGAGAGGAUGCCAUAUCUGCCCCCUGGAAUGGACUUACAGGUGUUUGAGAAAUGUUUUCUUUCCUGUGGGUUACUUGACACUCUAACAGACGAGCUAUUAUGAUAUACUGGCUGAUGUCAGGAGACCUGGGUUUAAUAGUCCUUACUUUCUCCUUCCUCUUAUGUAUAGACUUGCUGAAAAAGAUCUGCUUUCUGUGGAUUUCCCCGUUUAUUCUCCUUUCUGUGAUCUCUGCAAAUGGGCAGGAUACGUCGACAGCAGAAGUGAACAUCAGAUACUCACCACUGGUUGAAUUCAAAUGGAAGCCACAGGGGAAGGGAGCUCCUGAUGCAGCCUGAAGACCGUAUGGGUCGGUUCCUGGGGCAGAGGGCAGGUGGAGAAGAGUGGAAAGCAGCACUGGGCAAGUAGAAGGUGAACACGUUCUUUUGAUCACAUCUCCUGAACAAGCAUGAGACUUUCCAGGUGACAUUUCUCUUCUUGGCCCAGAAUACAGAGUACGGUACUACUAACCAGAGCCCCUGGACUGAGGAAAGCGUUCUCCUGCACAGAGCCCAAGGAAACGGAGAGGGGCAACAGAGGAGGAACUGUACUUUGUGUCUU